GAUGAAGAACGUAGCAAAAUGCGAUAAGUAAUGUGAAUUGCAGAAUUCAGUGAAUCAUCGAAUCUUUGAACGCACAUUGCGCCCGCCAGUAUUCUGGCGGGCAUGCCUGUUCGAGCGUCAUUUCAACCCUCAAGCACAGCUUGGUGUUGGGACUCGCGUUAAUUCGCGUUCCCCAAAUUGAUUGGCGGUCACGUCGAGCUUCCAUAGCGUAGUAGUAAAACCCUCGUUACUGGUAAUCGUCGCGGCCACGCCGUUAAACCCCAACUUCUGAAUGUUGACGUCGGAUCAGGUAGGAAUACCCGCUGAACUUAAGCAUAUCAAUAAGCAGAGGA
This 332-nucleotide unclassified non-coding RNA is filed under the name soil metagenome. Its description in RNAcentral is "partial contains 5.8S ribosomal RNA, internal transcribed spacer 2, and large subunit ribosomal RNA". The stretch from base 1 to 120 matches the Rfam family "5.8S ribosomal RNA", at positions 35 to 154 of the family's 154-position model. The record is from RNAcentral.